AGUGAACGCUGGCGGUAGGCCUAGCACAUGCAAGUCGAACGGCAGCACAGUAAGAGCUUGCUCUUACGGGUGGCGAGUGGCGGACGGGUGAGGAAUACAUCGGAAUCUACUUUUUCGUGGGGGAUAACGUAGGGAAACUUACGCUAAUACCGCAUACGACCUACGGGUGAAAGCAGGGGAUCUUCGGACCUUGCGCGAUUGAAUGAGCCGAUGUCGGAUUAGCUAGUUGGCGGGGUAAAGGCCCACCAAGGCGACGAUCCGUAGCUGGUCUGAGAGGAUGAUCAGCCACACUGGAACUGAGACACGGUCCAGACUCCUACGGGAGGCAGCAGUGGGGAAUAUUGGACAAUGGGCGCAAGCCUGAUCCAGCCAUACCGCGUGGGUGAAGAAGGCCUUCGGGUUGUAAAGCCCUUUUGUUGGGAAAGAAAAGCAGCAGGUUAAUACCCCGCUGUUCUGACGGGACCCAAAGAAUAAGCACCGGCUAACUUCG
This 490-nucleotide ribosomal RNA is filed under the name uncultured bacterium. RNAcentral describes it as "partial 16S ribosomal RNA". It matches the Rfam family "Bacterial small subunit ribosomal RNA", at positions 29 to 505 of the family's 1533-position model. The record is from RNAcentral.